RNAcentral lists this transfer RNA (68 nucleotides) under Camelus bactrianus (Bactrian camel). It matches the Rfam family "tRNA". Rfam says of the family: Transfer RNA (tRNA) molecules are approximately 80 nucleotides in length. Their secondary structure includes four short double-helical elements and three loops (D, anti-codon, and T loops). The record is from Rfam by way of RNAcentral. RNAcentral also lists the same sequence under 3 other names. Lineage: Eukaryota; Metazoa; Chordata; Mammalia; Artiodactyla; Camelidae.
GAGGGUAUAGCUCAGUGGUAGAGUGCUCAGCAUGCACAAGGCCCUGGGUUCGAUCCCCAGUCCCUCCA